This 433-nucleotide unclassified non-coding RNA is filed under the name soil metagenome. Its description in RNAcentral is "partial contains 5.8S ribosomal RNA, internal transcribed spacer 2, and large subunit ribosomal RNA". The stretch from base 1 to 120 matches the Rfam family "5.8S ribosomal RNA", at positions 35 to 154 of the family's 154-position model. The record is from RNAcentral.
GAUGAAGAACGCAGCGAAAUGCGAUACGUAAUGUGAAUUGCAGAAUUCAGUGAAUCAUCGAAUCUUUGAACGCAUAUUGCGCUCUCUGGUAUUCCGGAGAGCAUGCUUGUUUGAGUAUCAGUAAACACCUCAACUUCCAUAUCUUUUUUGAAAUGGGAGUUGGACUUGAGUGAUCCCAACGCUUUUCCUCACCGAAAAGUGGCGGGUUACUUGAAAUGCAGGUGCAGCUGGACUUUUCUCGGAGCUAUAAGCACAUCUAUUUAGUCUGCCUAAAAAACAGAUUAUUACCUUUGCUGCAGCUAACAUAAAGGAGAUUAGUUCUUGUGCUGACUGAUGCAGGAUUCACAAAGACAGGCUUCGGCCGACUUUGUAAACUCGAUCUCAAAUCAAGUAAGACUACCCGCUGAACUUAAGCAUAUCAAUAAGCGGAGGA